GCUUGCUUAGACCAGCAGGCAGAGUCAGCGGUCUUAAAAACCGUACAGGACGGGUUCGAAUCCCGUAGCAAGCACCA
This 77-nucleotide transfer RNA is filed under the name Clostridiales bacterium. RNAcentral describes it as "tRNA-Leu". It matches the Rfam family "tRNA". Rfam says of the family: Transfer RNA (tRNA) molecules are approximately 80 nucleotides in length. Their secondary structure includes four short double-helical elements and three loops (D, anti-codon, and T loops). Further hydrogen bonds mediate the characteristic L-shaped molecular structure. tRNAs have two regions of fundamental functional importance: the anti-codon, which is responsible for specific mRNA codon recognition, and the 3' end, to which the tRNAs corresponding amino acid is attached (by aminoacyl-tRNA synthetases). tRNAs cope with the degeneracy of the genetic code in two manners: having more than one tRNA (with a specific anti-codon) for a particular amino acid; and 'wobble' base-pairing, i.e. permitting non-standard base-pairing at the 3rd anti-codon position. Lineage: Bacteria; Bacillati; Bacillota; Clostridia; Eubacteriales. The record is from RNAcentral.